GAUGAACGCUGGCGGCGUGUCUAAUACAUGCAAGUCGAGCGAACAGACGAGGAGCUUGCUCCUCUGACGUUAGCGGCGGACGGGUGAGUAACACGUGGAUAACCUACCUAUAAGACUGGGAUAACUUCGGGAAACCGGAGCUAAUACCGGAUAAUAUAUUGAACCGCAUGGUUCAAUAGUGAAAGACGGUUUUGCUGUCACUUAUAGAUGGAUCCGCGCCGCAUUAGCUAGUUGGUAAGGUAACGGCUUACCAAGGCAACGAUGCGUAGCCGACCUGAGAGGGUGAUCGGCCACACUGGAACUGAGACACGGUCCAGACUCCUACGGGAGGCAGCAGUAGGGAAUCUUCCGCAAUGGGCGAAAGCCUGACGGAGCAACGCCGCGUGAGUGAUGAAGGUCUUCGGAUCGUAAAACUCUGUUAUUAGGGAAGAACAAAUGUGUAAGUAACUAUGCACGUCUUGACGGUACCUAAUCAAAAAGCCACGGCUAACUACGUG
This 497-nucleotide ribosomal RNA is filed under the name uncultured bacterium. Its description in RNAcentral is "partial 16S ribosomal RNA". It matches the Rfam family "Bacterial small subunit ribosomal RNA", at positions 28 to 507 of the family's 1533-position model. The record is from RNAcentral.